UGGAACAGCACACUCACGACGUGGGAAGGUCACAGAAAUGUUGAAAGACAUCAGAUGUGUGGAAACGUCGUAGCGGAUGAAUGUGAAUUAUGGAUCUCCAAGUGGCGUCGCCCGCGUCAUUUUCAAGAUUUUACCCGUUUUGAAGGUACGUAGUGAAUGUGCGAGGCAUUCACGUUCCUACUACGUGGUUAUCCAUGCGUUUCCCGUCUUCGCAGGCAAUAGGGCUGUUGAUAGGGAGAAUGCUAGGCUACUGCAGACUGCAACCAUAGGCGCUGUGUCUAAAGGUUAAGCUCACAUGACGCGGCAGGGAAGGGAGUCCGUGGCGAAAAGUGAAUAUAGCCGA
Long non-coding RNA from Ornithodoros turicata, 343 nucleotides. RefSeq lists it as uncharacterized. Lineage: Eukaryota; Metazoa; Arthropoda; Arachnida; Ixodida; Argasidae. The transcript is spliced from 3 exons. The record is from RefSeq and is a predicted model, not a curated record.